GACGAACGCUGGCGGCGUGCUUAACACAUGCAAGUCGAACGGAAAGGCCCCUUUGGGGGUACUCGAGUGGCGAACGGGUGAGUAACACGUGAGUAACCUGCCCUUGACUUCGGGAUAACUUCAGGAAACUGGGGCUAAUACCGGAUAGGAAUCCUUGCUGCAUGGCGGGGGUUGGAAAGCUUCGGCGGUUUUGGAUGGACUCGCGGCUUAUCAGCUUGUUGGUGGGGUAGUGGCUUACCAAGGCGUUGACGGGUAGCCGGCCUGAGCGGGCGACCGGCCACAUUGGGACUGAGAUACGGCCCAGACUCCUACGGGAGGCAGCAGUGGGGAAUAUUGCACAAUGGGCGGAAGCCUGAUGCAGCAACGCCGCGGGCGGGAUGACGGCCUUCGGGUUGUAAACCGCUUUCAGCAGGGGCGAAGCUUGUGGUGACGGUACCUGCAGAAGAAGCACCGGCUAACUACGUG
RNAcentral lists this ribosomal RNA (465 nucleotides) under uncultured bacterium. Its description in RNAcentral is "partial 16S ribosomal RNA". It matches the Rfam family "Bacterial small subunit ribosomal RNA", at positions 28 to 507 of the family's 1533-position model. The record is from RNAcentral.